This 484-nucleotide ribosomal RNA is filed under the name uncultured bacterium. RNAcentral's name for it is "partial 16S ribosomal RNA". It matches the Rfam family "Bacterial small subunit ribosomal RNA", at positions 30 to 507 of the family's 1533-position model. The record is from RNAcentral.
AUUGAACGCUGGCGGCAGGCCUAACACAUGCAAGUCGAGCGGAUGAAGGGAGCUUGCUCCUGGAUUCAGCGGCGGACGGGUGAGUAAUGCCUAGGAAUCUGCCUGGUAGUGGGGGAUAACGUCCGGAAACGGGCGCUAAUACCGCAUACGUCCUGAGGGAGAAAGUGGGGGAUCUUCGGACCUCACGCUAUCAGAUGAGCCUAGGUCGGAUUAGCUAGUUGGUGGGGUAAAGGCCUACCAAGGCGACGAUCCGUAACUGGUCUGAGAGGAUGAUCAGCCACCUGGGACAUGAGACGCGGUCCAGCCCCCUACGGGGGGAAGCAGGGGGGAAUAUUGGACAAGGGGCGAAAGCCUGACCCAGCCAUGCGGCGUGUGUGAAGAAGGUUUUCGGAUUUUAAAGCAUUUUAAGUGGGGAGGAAGGGAAGUAAUUUAAUACCUUGCUGUUUUGACGUUCCCAAAAGAAAAAGCACCGGCUAACUUCGUG